AUUGAACGCUGGCGGAAUGCUUUACACAUGCAAGUCGAGCGGCAGCGCGGGGCAACCUGGCGGCGAGCGGCGAACGGGUGAGUAACAUAUCGGAACGUACCCAGUCGUGGGGGAUAACUAUCCGAAAGGAUAGCUAAUACCGCAUACGACCUGAGGGUGAAAGCGGGGGACCGAAAGGCCUCGCGCGAUUGGAGCGGCCGAUAUCGGAUUAGCUAGUUGGUGAGGUAAAGGCUCACCAAGGCGACGAUCCGUAGCUGGUCUGAGAGGACGACCAGCCACACUGGAACUGAGACACGGUCCAGACUCCUACGGGAGGCAGCAGUGGGGAAUUUUGGACAAUGGGGGCAACCCUGAUCCAGCCAUUCCGCGUGAGUGAAGAAGGCCUCGGUUGUAAGACGUCUUCGGUCGACGGAACGAAACGGUAGGUCCCGUAACUACGGGACGUACUAAUAG
This 453-nucleotide ribosomal RNA is filed under the name uncultured bacterium. Its description in RNAcentral is "bacterial SSU rRNA". It matches the Rfam family "Bacterial small subunit ribosomal RNA", at positions 29 to 475 of the family's 1533-position model. The record is from RNAcentral.